AGGUUCUGUGCAGUACUGAAGAGCAACUUCAGCUCUUGAGUUACAGCUCAAUGCAACCUCCUGGCAGGCCAGCCUUAAGCCCAGCAGUCCAACCAUGCAUCUAAGCUGAGUUCUCAUCAGAGCCAACUUCAAUUAUAAACAACUGAGAUGAUGCCAGAGGCCAGAAUCCCUGAGAACCCAAUUUGCUGUCAUCACGAUGGCUGAAACAAGGUGACCUUCAUAAUGCAGGCAAUAGAGAAUUGCAAGAUUUGUCAGAGAUUUCAGGUCUUUGGAAAGCUAUGCUCUUUCACAAGAACAACCAUGGAAACAGGAAGAAAGUCAAUUCCCACUUAAGCUUGUAUCAACUCUAGAAUUUAUUGGGCACCUCCUAGGACAUAAACACUGGAAUUUGGUGAGAGACGUCAAAUAGGAAAGAACCUGGCUCUGACAUAAAUUCAACACACGGAGGGGGACACAUGUUAUGAGACUGAUCUGGCCUCUUCAUCUCAUAAAAGGGGUUCUUGUUGCUGGUAACACAGAUUAAAACUAUUUCAAUUACAUUCAAGAUAAAAAGAUGAGCAAUGGUAUGUAAGAUGAAAAAAUCACCCCGCAGGAAGACAAAAGUCUCACAAAAGGAUAUUUAAGCUAGCCAACACUUUGAAAUUCAGGCAGAGAUCGUGCUUUCUGGGUGAACUAAAGUAGCAAGAACAAAGUAGAGGCUCCAAUUCUAGGAAAAAUGGGCCCUAAUAAGGUUUACAAUCCAGAAACUCAAGAUAUCCAGACAGAAGGAUGCAGUCUCCGCUUUCAAGGCAGCAGCAGUACCUGGAUUACUAAGCCAAUCCCCAACACAAUCAUAAACACAAAUUUGAUUGAGGAAGAAGCUUGCCCACCAGAAGAUUUAGGUUAUUACAAGGUAGAAUGUGAUAGAGAAAAUGAGCAUGGGACUGGAAACAAAAGGAGGUAACCCCAUGAUUACAACUGGAAUAUAUCUGUCAGCGAUGGUGCGGAAAUAAGACUGAAGAGAGAGAUCCUUAAACCCCACGUGCCUUACAUCAGUACUAAUCCUGGACACAGGCUGGAAAGCAUAGUCUACAGGUGGUGAGGGAGGAGGAGUGGGCUCAGCUGUGAGAAGGAGAAGGAAAUAUGGCUGAAAACCAGAUAGGGGUCUUGAAAUCACACAGAGGAUUUGGGCCUUUGCUGCUGUCUGCCAGCAGCUGCCAGUAGUUCUCACACUUUGGCUGGCAACAAAAUCACCUGGGGCAGUGGUGCGGAAGCGGGGGGAGUGUUGUAAAACCACAAGUGACCAGGCAAAAAACACCUGUAUGUUUUCCAAUUCAGUAAGUACAGAAAUAUUAAUUGGAAAAAGGUGGAAGUCAACAUUGAUAGUGCUGUGGACUGCUCCAGGGACAUAAGCAUGAUCUUUAGAGAGGCGACUCUAAUCAGUUGAGGGCAACCACUGGACAGAAAGAGGUCCAGACCAACCGUACACAGAGACAUCACACAACUACACUUUAGCAACCUCUCCAAGUAACAUGUCUCUUAGUGAAACUUGGGAGGGUGAAAGUUAAAAACAUAAAAUCCAGUGGCAUUUAUGUAUCCUAGGCACUUACAUUUGUCUGAUUCUUCCAACUUGCCUUUGCUUGGUUAGAGUUUUGGGUAGAUAAGAGGUGGAUUUACAUGUGCUAGUGUGAGAACUUUGAUACACUCAUUUAGACAUUGACCUACUAUCUUGAUGUUUGAAAGCUAAAACCCAAAGAAAUUUGUCUUUUUACGUAAAACAAAUUCAGUCCUUGCCUUCCUUGUAGAUUACAUCUUCCACUAGCAGUAAUAAAAAAGUAACAAUAUGCAU
Molecule: long non-coding RNA, 1828 nt
Organism: Pan troglodytes (chimpanzee)
Lineage: Eukaryota; Metazoa; Chordata; Mammalia; Primates; Hominidae
Exons: 4
Source: RefSeq, a predicted model, not a curated record